Molecule: non-coding RNA, 72 nt
Organism: Strongyloides papillosus
Lineage: Eukaryota; Metazoa; Nematoda; Chromadorea; Rhabditida; Strongyloididae
Source: Rfam
UCUCUGGUAGUAUAGUGGUGAGUAUCCGCGCCUGUCACGUGCGAGACCGGGGUUCGAUUCCCCGCCAGAGAG